UCUUGUAAUUCCAAAUUCCUUUGCCUUCAAUUUCCUAGUCGAAUAAACGAAUUUACUGAGAGGAGAGAUUUUUAGUUUAUUUAGUUUUUCAUUUCAUAUUUUGAUGCCGCACUCUUUCUUGUCCGGAGGAAGAAUUUCAUGGAAUAGAAUUUCUUGAAUUAGCUAGCUAUCAUAGUUUUCUUUACCCCAAAACCAACACUGACUCGGGUUGUUCAAUCUUAAGUGGAGUGAGUUAAAUGACUU
Molecule: long non-coding RNA, 243 nt
Filed under: Oryza brachyantha (malo sina)
Lineage: Eukaryota; Viridiplantae; Streptophyta; Magnoliopsida; Poales; Poaceae
Description: long non-coding RNA (OBRA_LNC003444)
Source: RNAcentral